Molecule: RNase P RNA, 362 nt
Filed under: Actinomycetota bacterium
Lineage: Bacteria; Bacillati; Actinomycetota
Description: Actinobacteria bacterium RNase P RNA component class A
Rfam family: Bacterial RNase P class A
About the family: Ribonuclease P (RNase P) is a ubiquitous endoribonuclease, found in archaea, bacteria and eukarya as well as chloroplasts and mitochondria. Its best characterised activity is the generation of mature 5'-ends of tRNAs by cleaving the 5'-leader elements of precursor-tRNAs.
Source: RNAcentral
UGAGUCGGUCGGGUGACCGCGGCACGACCUGAUCGUGUCGAGGAAAGUCGGGACUCCACAGGGCAGAGUGCUGGCGCGAGCCAGGUCGCGGCGACGUGACGGAUGUGCAACAGAGAGAGACCGCCGAUGGACCGGUUCGCCGGUCACAGGCAAGGGUGCAACGGUGCGGUAAGAGCGCACCAGCGUGCGAGGCGACUCGUACGGCUCGGUAACACCACUCGGAGCAAGGCCAAGCAGAGAGGAUGGGCUGCCCGUCCGUCGGUCCUCGGAUCGGCCCCUCUCGGGUAGGCCGCACUAGAUGGAUGGUCACACAGGCCGCUUCGGCGGCCGGACAGAAUCCCGCUUACAGACCGACUCACCAC